UGAACCUGCGGACAUUCGUCUCGGCAGUCCGUUCCACAACCAACUAGGCUAUCGCCGCUUUUAAAAACAGCCGCAGCAGAAAAAUACUAUUUGUAAAUGACUAUACUUUCUACAGGUCUAAAAAUGUAUUUGGAAACGGGGACAUAGGUGGAGGAGCACCCAGGAUAGAACUUGCAAACCCUUCUUACAGCUAACGAACGACGUGAUCAUUGUAAAAAAAACCUCAUCCAUUAUCACAACGCACCUGUCUAUCACAGAAUUAAAGGCAAGAAAUACUAUAGAUGAACUUUACGGAUUAACAACACCUCAAUCCCCCCCCGUGACCAUGAAGGCUGCAAAGUCUUCGAAACGUCGGGAGAAAAAUAAAAUACAAAAAACCGUGAUUGAAUCCGGAAAAUUAGUUUAAUUUCAAUAUGUAAAAGUUAGUUAUUAAUUGAUUAGUACUGUUUUGUUUGCUAACACUAAUAAAAUUCUGCCAAGGUUUCAAUUCGUGAACAUUAAAACGGUCAGCCUAAACUCUUUAAAUGAUGGUGAAAAAUAUACUUGCGUGCUAAAAUUUCGGCCCACGUUACUGGGUUACACUCUGAACUAUAAAAAUUAGAAAUGCAUAGUAUUGAAAUUAAUCAUUUCUCAUCAGUCGACACUCUAACAAAGAUCUAAUACUCUUUCCAUCAGCUGCAGUGAAAUAUCUCUUAUAAAAAAUAAAACUUGGAUAAAAAUAUUCAUUUAAAAGGCUACGAGAAGUGCUUUCUCUACGUCGUCGUAUCGUUAUGGUAUUGCUACAAAUCUUUCACCUGCAACGCGUCCAUCUUGACAAUCGUCUAAAGUUGGUCUAGGAUUACCCACAAAACACGAUCCUUCCAACCUUAGUGAAAACACGAGAUGCCUAGCAUGCAAGGUAUUUUUGACAUACGGUACUAAAUGAAACCACACUUCGAAAUCACCUUCUUGAAAAGUUACCCGAACCGUAAAUGUACCUAAAAUAAAAAAGGAUGUUUUUCGAACUACAUCAAUACAAAAUUAAUUUAAUUUUUACGCCAUGCCACUACUACUACUCUAACAGACUUAGCCGCAGUGGCAACAUGACACUUUCAAUCAUAAAUACACUUCCAAUUUUUUUUAAAUAUUCCUUAUUCAUAGAAGAUUUGAGGCACAAUGUUAGCAAAGAUCAAGAAGAAUAUUUUAUUUCAUGUAUUAACGCAAUGUCUAAAUGCCUCUGUAUAUUGAGGUUAUUUAAAAUAGACUAUAGAAAGGAAUAUGGAAAAUACAUCACUCUAAAGACCCGGGUUCGAAUCCCGAGUCGGGCAAAGUGGCAUUGGAUUUUACUAUUCAGUAUAAGCCCGGAGUCUAAAAUUUGUGUUCGAUAUAGUGAUAAACUCACCCCUUAUCACUUUGGACAAAGUCAUGUCAGUCAUACAUGACGAAAAGUGAUUGACUUUACUUCUAACAAACAUCCAAACAGUUUCACAAACUUUCGUAUUAUAUAAGUAUUAGUAUAAUAUACGUAAAAUUCUACAGAUAACAUCCUCCAAAUCAAGCAGUAAUCCAUACGUCUAUAAUAUUGAGCAAAGUGUUAGGGGAUACGUUUUUCGUACAUGAAGAACAAGAAGGAGACGGAAUCACCUCUUCCCUGAAGGUAUCAGGGCGGGUUGUCAAUAAAUCCGAGCAAAAAGCUCGAGUCAGAGAAUAUCCUGAAAGUUGAAGUAUAUAUUAGUAAGAGACACAUUGUAUACAAUGUUUAUCCGUAAAAUAGUUGUAUUACAAUGUCUAACAUUCGCGUAAACAUAAAUCAUUAUACAAUUUUACUGGUUGUCAAUAAUGGUGAUCAUUUAUAGAUCAUUUGCGAUUUUUUAGUGCUUUUCUAUCCAUAAUCAGGUCACUACAAUCUGUUUUCGAGAGCAUUGCCCUUGCAUCUAGUAUUAGGUGCGUUGGGGUAAGCUCGCACGAGGAUAACAUCGUAUAAAUCGAAGAACUUGCUAUUAUGUUAUAGUUUUUGUUUUCUGACAACAUUGCCUGCAACGCCAUCUUGUUCCCUAAAUCCUGCAGGUUUGCGUGAGUUAUUCUUACAAGUAAAACCUGUUUAUGGUGCCAAUAAACAGAAUACCUUUUUUCGUUGUUCUAUUGAAGAUCUCCAUGAAUAAUUUUAGGUGAGUACUUAGAUUUUUAAUGGCAUAUUAUCAUCAUGAAUAAUUCUCUAAUUAUUUAAAUAAAAAAAUUACGGUAGUAUUCGAAACAGAAAACGGAACAUACGACUCCCGAUCUUCGUUUGUGAUUACCAAUUUCCACACUCACGCCUUUUAUCCCCAAGGGUUAGGUAGAGACGCAACUGAUGAACCCACCUUUCGCCGUGUGUUUUUCGCUCCAUGAUGAGGUAAGAAGCGAGCCUAUCACUAUAUUGGGCACAAAUUCCAAAUACGUGGCCGUCGCUUUGUGUACUGACGACGAUUGGCAACAGAAUUCAUGUUAUAUACUGUGUAAUUGAUUUUAUUGGUUGAACAAAAAGUAUUGUUAUGUUUAAAAACGAAUUGAAGCUGCAAUACCUGAAUGUACGAAGAAAGGCUUUGUUAAUCUUCUAUCUUUAAAAGCGCUAAUAUUUAAAAGUUAACUUCUAAUGACGCAUGCAAUCAUUUUUGCAAAAUGAAUAUAUAGGAAAGAAAGAGACGAAGAAAUGACUUGAAAUGAUCCCAAAAAAAGACGAAAUGAGAGAAAACCAACUUCCCAAAUAACAGAUGAAGAAAGAAAAAAGCAUAAGAAAUUCAAUUUAGGACGAGUCCUCGGUAUCAGAAGUCUGUAAAAAAAAUUGGAGAAGUUAUAUAUAUCGCGCAAAGGUAAAAAUGUUUAUUAAAAAAUACAAAUACUGAAUAAAAUGCAUGUUACACAAUCCCCUGUGCUAAAUGUUUUAAAUAAUAAUACGAUAAAUAUAUAUUUGCAAUAUCGUUAUUGGCUGAGUAAAAAAAUAUUAAUAAUACUAUAAAGCAAUAAGCAUCUUUGUCAAACACAAACAUAUUUUUAAAAUAACAAUUUAAUAAAGUCUCGCGCCUAGACCGCUAGUAGUAACAGUCGCCUGGUAAGCAUUUAUUUUGUUUUAAAUAAAAUAAAAAUAAUAAUUUAGCGAGCAUGUUAACACAUCUGAGGUAGGCGUUUAGUUUAAAUAAAUUUACGCAUAAAAAUAUCAGUUCCCUGGUCAUUUUAUAACACAGGGGCUGUUCUAUUACACCGUGUAUUUUGGUAUCGUUAAAUAUAUCCUGCAGUAUUGCGUAACAUUGAAUAUAUUAAUUAAAAAUAAUAUCUUCUUUGCAGGUAAUGUAAAAUACCACCAAAAGAAAAAGAUACCCAAAACAAGGGAAGAAAAAUUAGAACAAAAACGUUUAAGUGAACGUUUAAGAUACGAAAGAAUUAAAAGUGACCCGCAAAAACGAGAAGAAAUGAGAGAGAAACAACGUCGGACAUAUGAAAUGAGGAAAGAAAAAGGUUUAAGCAAAUUAGUUAAGGACAUGAAUCGUCGUGAGCAUAAAGAUGCAAAAAAAUCUUGGAGAAGACAUAGUGCUACACAUUACGCAAAGAAAAAACUUUUGAAAAAUGUUACGGAAACUUUACUUUGUAAUUGUACCUAGUAUUAUUAAAGAUUGAACAUGUUAAAGUGUUUUAAUGUAAAAAGAAAUAGAAAUAUCAAUUUACAUCCGCUGUCGUAGCAUUUUAAAUUAUUCUUCCUAUAAAAAAUAUUCGAUUACCGUAUGACUUAAAAAAUAUUAAGACAGUGUUAUAUGGUCCAAUUUCCAAUAGAGAAAAAUCUAGUAUAACAUAGCGAGGGAAAAGUCACCUAGGUGAUUUCCAGUAAGUGAUGGAAAUCUGUGUAUUGCUUUGAUAACUAUCAUUUCAAAUUAAACAAAUAGGUUAUAUCUACAAAUGCCGGAUCAACUCUACAGAUUUCAUAUACAGAUAUUGAAAUUAAAAUGGAAUGAUUGGUGUUUUCACCACACCAUUCGCACACAGCAGCCGCACUAGACCUAAAAACAUGAAACUACAUCGUCUGUGUUGUAAUUUUCCUUCGACACUACAGCUUACAUUGCAGCAUGCUUGCUUACUCGGACCAUGGGCACCGAGAGACGACAUGAAUAUAUUCAUGACCGCCCGCGGGAAGGAGAGGCUGGUCUACCACAAUUUCACGUAUUACAAGCAGAGUAGGACAAAGAACGGGUUCAGGUGGGGCUGCACGAAGAAUAGAUGGCAUAAAUGCAAGGCGUACCUCCAUUUGGCUGAUGAUAUGACGAUCGUUAGGAGUAAUAUGGAUCACACGCACAGCCCUUUCGGCACUCCGGUGAAGAAGAGAGAGAGUUAGAUAGAGCUGGCGCAAUGUAAUCCAGUAGAUGAGAAUGGUGGAGGAAGCCACAGUGUAUUGACCAUACUGAGAUGAAUUGAGCAAAUUCGCCACCUCUCUACUGCUUCAAUCAUUAUGUGUAGUCAAUUUUUAAUGUACACCGCAUUCGCCGGUCUAUUGGUGCUCUGUUUCAUUUUGUUAACGUUUGCUGAUCCAAAAUUUGAUCAGGAAAGUUAAUGCUGCUAAAAAUAUUAUUUAAAAAUGAUCAUAAUUUACAUGAAAGUGAUUAUUUAUCUUUAGUUUCCUAUUAUUAAAGUAGACUCGUACAGCUUUGAUAACACCUCUAGUCAUUAUUUUAAGUUAUUUAUACACUAUCAAGCACUACGCAGUUUAGCGAGAAAUAGUCAAUAGAUUUACGAGUACAUUGACCCUUAUAAGGUUUUAGACUGCAAUGAAGGUUUAGGCUGAUAUCAGUAAAAUCUACUGUUACUUAGUGACUCUGCAAGUGAUAAUUACAAUCGAGAAUUGCCUGUAUCGUACUGUUUUAAUUAAUGGCAAUAUUAAUUCAUAUAAUAGCACUGCUAUAAGUGGAAGUAGUCUUUAAAGGUUUCAGCCUUGUUACUAAACCAUUAGCGUCGUCGCUAGCUAUUCUAUUCUUGUUUUACCAUUAUCAGUGGUAACGUAAACUAUAGAAUUAUAAGUAAGUAUUUUGUCCCAAACCUGUGAUCCGUCAUGAAUAUCUAAUUAAAUUAUAAUCACAUAUACACCCAUAGAGCUUAAUAUAGUUAUAGUAAUAUAGGUGUCUAUAAAAACCUGGAUAAUAUUAAUACGUGAGGUUUCUCUACAUAUUUUUAAAUACCAUAUAUGUGGUUAGUCUUCUUUUUUCGUUUCUGAAUUCACUUUCUAAGCAGCAGUAAUAAGUUAUUCAUUGUUGUUGAAUUCAUAAUUUAUUAUAUUCCAACAUUUUGUUGUAAAACUGCAUUGGCGACCCAUUUGGCUCGGGUCCAAACUUCUCUUAGAAUGUUUGCCAUAUAAUAGUUGACAUAAUUCAUCUCUAGUGCAGAUAGUUUAGAUUUUAUUCCAUUUCUAGUCAAAUGUUUUUGUUAUUUGCAAUAAGUCUGUUUUGGAAUUUGAAAAUUUGUCCACAAAAAGAUAUUUUAAAUUGUAAAAUCGAAUCAUCAGGUAAAAAGAGGCAGAAAAUAGAUAUCAGCUAUUGUAAAAAAACUAUCAAUUAUAUAAUUAAAGACCGGAUCAAGCUAAUGGGCAAUCUAAUAGAAAGUGAUAACCGGUAUCCAUAGAAUCAGUAACUUCGAGAAAUUUCCGAUGUAUUAAAUAGGUUACUGCCAGUCGGAUUGAUAAUCCAGUGAUGCUUACUCUACAAAAGGGUAAUAUACCUUUACAAAUGAAACAUUAUAAAUUGCAUUAUACCUAUUAUGUGUCCUGAAUCCCUAGGGUUAUUAAUAGAUCGAACUCAGUAUCACUUUAAAAUUCCAUCUUAGCUGAUACCCUGUCAAGUUAAAGUCAGUAUCUUAAGAUCCUCUUUAUUAAACACGUAUCAAAAACGUUACUUCAAAGUCCGAUCCUGGUAUCGAUUAAUUGGUAUCAGUAUUUUUUUAAUAUUUUGGGUAUUUUUUAUUUAUGAAACAAAUAGUGCUGAUCACAGGCGAUCCAAUACCUCAAGUUUUGUUUAUUAAAUUCAAUAUCUUAAAUGUUUACUUAAGAUACUACUCAAAGGUGAUAUUGGUUUAUUAAUAAGGCCCUUUAUAUUGUUUCUUUACAUAAGUUUUACAAUUAUCAAUAAUACAAUUUUAAAAUUAUAUAAGUUGUACCUGCAUUUAAGUAGGGAAACCCUAUGUCGCAUGCUAAUCAAAAACCAUGUAGGUUUAUUAAAUGAAAUAGGUUUUAAUUGUAAAUAAAAGGAUGAACUAUUGUAUGUUAGAGAGGCCUAUUGUAUCUAGCAUGUUUCCAGUGAGAUAGUUUAUUUACUGUAAGUAGGCAAUUUUAUAAUUUUAGCCUAAUGUAAUUUAUCACUUAUAUUUUUAAUCACAUUCAAAUUUUCUAUCUAGUCAUUUGUUAGUCUGCAUUUUUAAAUCUAAAUUACAUUCCAUUUGAAUUUUAUUAUUACCCAAAAAAUGAUUUUGAAAUAUUGUUAGGUUGAAUUUAGCGCAAAAUAUAAUACGCAUUUAUGUAUAACUUUGUCAAUGUAAUUAUUUGUUAUACAUGUAUCUUUGUAUUAUUUUCAUGACAUCAUUAAAAAUGUUAUAAAUCAAACUGAUUGAAACCAAAAAGAAUUGUACUUGAUUAUGUUUUACGACUUAGCGUUUUAAUUUAUAAAAUUUUAUUAAAAUGCAAUGAACACAGCGAUUUAAAUUAUUGUCAACCUCAGUUUAAUAUAAAAUAUGAUAUCGUUAUUUUGAAAUAUAAAACUAUUUUAUUUAACACUUUACGAUGUCUAUCAUUUGGAUCCAUUUUCACUCUUCACAACUGUCAUAUAUUAUAUACUCAAGUCUAGUCUGGUUAGUUAAGAGCUCGAUCGAUAGUCCAAUGACCUGUGCCGUGGGAUAGACAGUGAGGUUUUUUAGCAUGAGACGAGGAACGUGGACGCCUGUUGGUAAGGAUUCCGUUUAGCUAUAAACAGAAGCGCCAUCUAGAUUUUUUAAACAACAAAAAUAUUUUACAAGUUGAUUUAGAAUCUAAGAGUCGUAUAAGUGGAUGCUUAGUUUCUCUCUUAAGUGUGAUAUCAGCUGACACGGUAGCAAAUUAAGGUUAGCAUCUUAAGAUAUUCGCUGUUUAAUAAACCCUAAUUAACACCAGCUCAAAUUAUAUAUUAAGCUACAAUAUGAUGUAUUUUCAUAGCCGAGUUUUGUUUUAUUAACAGCGCCGACUCAGCUAAGACAACUCUUAACCUUGGUUUAUUGAGUAAUUAAUUACUUUAAACGUCUACUUGAGAUCCUACUUAAGAUUGAGAUUGAUUUAUUAAUAAGGCCCUCAGACAUUAGAUGCUACGCGUAAUAUACUUCGUGGAAGUAACAUUAGAUGGGUAUUGUAUAAAUUAAUUUGGCGAUACUACGCACAAUAAUAAUAUGGAAACAAUAGUUAUAUAAAAAAGGAACCCGUGUGAAAAGGACAUGUUCUAAAAAUUAAACUACAUUUAGACGCAGUCGGGUUUUUUUAUCAAGGACGCGGCUAAGUGGGCUUACUACACCUGAUGGUGAGUUAAAGGAUGCCCAAAAACAUGUCGACCAACAAGAGAUAAAGUUUCCCGGACGGUUGGUAAAUUUAUACCGGCCAGCUUAAUUGCUUUAGGCUUUUGAAGGACCUCUAGUUGUAGGAAGGCAGGAACACGUAUUAUUUAUUUAUUCUACAGUAAGUUUUUUCCAAAUUGUUUUGCAGCGCUUUUCAUCACAUUAGUCAGAGGGGCUAAACUCCUAAUGAUUAAUGAUUAUACAUUCUUCAAGAGCGGUGGCAUUCGCGCUGGCGGCGCUAGAUACAGCUGUUCCAGCGCUUUCAGCAAGGGCUGUAAGGCCUUCGUGCACGUCAGCGCUGAAAACGUCAUAAUGACAGCCAUGACAGAACACAACCAUGAACCAAUAAAAUAUGUUAAGACUAAGGAUGGGAGAUAUGUUAAGGUCUAAAAUAGUCUGAGAAUAUAGUACAUUUAACCAGUUGUAGAAAUUUAAAUAAAUAUUAACCUUAUUCGUGAAUACUUUAGGUUUAGUAGUUUUGUUUUAUAGGAUUUCAAGUCACGCCUUAUUGAUUUAUAAGUAUUGUUUAUAUUUUCUAUUACCAAUGGACAUAAGCGAAAUCACUAAUAAACGGUCGGAGCAAUAAAAAAUAAGGUUUUGUAAAUUCUGCUUUUCUAAGUAAUUUAAUUUUAUUUAUAAAAUAUGGUUGUGAUUAUAAUAGAAUAACACCUGUAUCAUCCAAAUAAAUAAUAACAGCAUAUAUUUUUAUUAAUUAAGAAUUAGAUAUUAAUCUACAUUUCUGGAACUGGUUAAUGAACACACUAUAAAGAAGCGAUAGAAUCUCCAAAUUGAGUUAUUCGUCGUAUAUUUAGGUAAUCGUAGGUUAAGUACGCUCAAGUUUUUAAUGCUGCGUUCAGACAUCGUAACCUUUUGUUGAAAAAUGCCCGGGCAAGAGCAGAUACUAUACACACAUAUAAGUACUGUUGGUCAUGCUCGCGCACUUUUCGGCGAGAUACUACGAAUGCUACGAGGUCUGGACGCAGCAUUAGUUACUUAUGUUUAAUUCCCGGUAUAAACAAAAGAAAUAUAUGUUCAAUACAACCUUCUAAACACUUUCACUCACAUAAUUAUUUCAGGAAUCAAUAAUUGAUUAAUAGACAUAGGAUCACAAAUUUAUGCAAUCCUACAGAUUUUUUAAGAGCCAAAAUAGAGUGUUUGUGUUAGAGUUUAAAAACGUAGUAUUAAAGAUUACAUUAUUGGAAAAA
Manduca sexta (tobacco hornworm) is the source of this 8768-nucleotide long non-coding RNA. RefSeq lists it as uncharacterized. The transcript has 2 exons. Lineage: Eukaryota; Metazoa; Arthropoda; Insecta; Lepidoptera; Sphingidae. The record is from RefSeq and is a predicted model, not a curated record.